Cyanistes caeruleus (blue tit) is the source of this 470-nucleotide non-coding RNA. The record is from RefSeq and is a predicted model, not a curated record. Lineage: Eukaryota; Metazoa; Chordata; Aves; Passeriformes; Paridae.
GCUCUGGGAUCCUUUGACCCAACUGCAGUCCAGAUGCAGCCUUAAGUCUUAAUUCUGCAGGAUUUCACAGCCUAGGACAUGGAACCUGCUGCUGUUCCUGCACCUCCAAAAGCAACAAGAGCAUGAAGACCACCACAUGCACAGGAGGUGCUGCUCCAGCACAAAGACCAGCAGAAUGAACUCACUGGGAUCAGCAGGUGGUGUAUGUUCAGCUGCUCUCGGCAGCACUCAGCUCACCUGUUCCCAGCGAGGGCAGCUGCCAUCAGGGAAGCAGUGCCCUGUGAAUGUGACAUUCAGAGGGCAGGAGAGCCCAGAUUUGUGAGGCAGACAUCAAAGUGCUCUCUAACAUGCAGAUGUUUCCCAUGCAGAGGCUGAGAAAAGUGAUGGCCAAGAGUUUGUAAAUCCUGUGCUGUGUUUUUUCCUUCGUUUUUUCCCUUACAUUCCCCAUUUCCUUUCCUUCUCUUAUGUGG